Molecule: ribosomal RNA, 500 nt
Filed under: uncultured bacterium
Lineage: Bacteria
Description: partial 16S ribosomal RNA
Rfam family: Bacterial small subunit ribosomal RNA
Source: RNAcentral
AUUGAACGCUGGCGGCAUGCCUUACACAUGCAAGUCGAACGGCAGCACGGGAGCAAUCCUGGUGGCGAGUGGCGAACGGGUGAGUAAUAUAUCGGAACGUGCCCAGUCGUGGGGGAUAACGCAGCGAAAGCUGUGCUAAUACCGCAUACGAUCUACGGAUGAAAGCGGGGGCUCGCAAGACCUCGAGCGCUUGGGGCGGCUGAUAUCAGCUUAGCUAGUUGGUGAGGUGAAGGCUCACCAAGGCGACGAUCUGUCGCUGGUCUAAGAGGACGACCAGCCACACGGGAACUUGCACACGGUCCAGACUCCUACGGGAGUCAGCAGUGGGGAAUUUUGGACAAUGGGCGAAAGCCUGAUCCGGCAAUGCCGCAUGCAGGAUGAAGGCCUUCGGGUUGUAAACUGCUUUUGUACGGAACGAAACGGUGAGCUCUAAUACGGUUUGCUAAUGACGGUACCGUAAGAAUAAGCACCGGCUAACUACGUGCCAGCCGCCGCCGUAA